Molecule: long non-coding RNA, 354 nt
Filed under: Pan troglodytes (chimpanzee)
Lineage: Eukaryota; Metazoa; Chordata; Mammalia; Primates; Hominidae
Description: long non-coding RNA NONPTRT006035
Source: RNAcentral
AGGGGCUUGACUAGGAGAGCCAGCAGGGCAAGAACUAUCACUCCUCUCCUACCCUCAGACUCACUUGCCGGUGACCAAGUCUGGCUCACAACAUCAGACAUUUCUUUCCUUUAGGAGGAUUUAGAUUUUAGAGGUCCUAAUUCAGUCUGGACUCUGGUUUCAUACAAUAGAAUCUGGCAGUGGUAAACUUAACCAUAUGGGGAAUGGAUCAGAAGAGUAUGAAGUAACCCAGCAAAAGGCUGGCAUCUUGCAAAGGUGGAUGGAGCCAAGACUCUUCUGAGAUUUCAUAAGAUACCUCACAGAAAGCCACUCUACGCUGAGAGGGAUGAAACGAAGGUCAGCCUCUAUGCUGGU